Molecule: long non-coding RNA, 419 nt
Filed under: Setaria viridis
Lineage: Eukaryota; Viridiplantae; Streptophyta; Magnoliopsida; Poales; Poaceae
Description: long non-coding RNA (SVIR_LNC004833)
Source: RNAcentral
AAAAUUUUGUUGUUGAUAUGCAUAAAUUCAUGAAUAAUUAAUAUGUAUAAAUUAUGAAAGGAAAAGUUUGGUGUACAAAUAUUUAUUGAUAUGCAUAAAUUCAUGAAUAAUUUUUAAUUGCAAGUAUUAUAAUUUUGCAUAUUAAGAGCGAUGGACAACAAUGAGAACAAUGUUGAAUCCUCCGAGGAUUUUGAUUCUGACAACAAUUGUGGAUUGUAUUCUACUUCACCUGAGUACGAACCAAGCCCACCAAGGUCUCGCAGGCGUUUAGAUGAAGAUGAUCCUAAAUACGAUCCAACCGCCGAUCAUCAGGUACCUGCAUGCACAUUCAUGUACAUAUCAUGUUUGUUGUUCACAUGAAGAUGAUAAACUCCAACUAUGUUUUUCUCUAUAGAACAAUGACCAAUCCCCGGUUCAUU